This 405-nucleotide ribosomal RNA is filed under the name uncultured Chloroflexota bacterium. RNAcentral's name for it is "bacterial SSU rRNA". It matches the Rfam family "Bacterial small subunit ribosomal RNA", at positions 355 to 776 of the family's 1533-position model. Lineage: Bacteria; Bacillati; Chloroflexota. The record is from RNAcentral.
CGAGGAAUCUUGCGCAAUGGGCGAAAGCCUGACGCAGCAACGCCGCGUGGGUGAUGAAGGCCUUCGGGUUGUAAAUCCCUUUUGCCGGGGAAGAACUUUGACGGUACCCGGCGAAUAAGCCACGGCUAACUACGUGCCAGCAGCCGCGGUAAGACGUAGGUGGCGAGCGUUAUCCGGAUUUACUGGGCGUAAAGCGUACGUAGGCGGCGCCAUCAGUCUGUCGUGAAAUCUCCCGGCUCAACCGGGAGCGGCCGAUGGAAACUGUGGCGCUCGAGGGGCGUAGAGGCAAGCGGAAUUCCCGGAGUAGUGGUGGAAUGCGUAGAUACCGGGAGGAACACCAGUGGCGCAAGCGGCUUGCCAGACGCAUCCUGACGCUGAGGUACGAAAGCGUGGGUAGCGAACCGG